RNAcentral lists this ribosomal RNA (253 nucleotides) under uncultured bacterium. Its description in RNAcentral is "partial 16S ribosomal RNA". It matches the Rfam family "Bacterial small subunit ribosomal RNA", at positions 524 to 776 of the family's 1533-position model. The record is from RNAcentral.
UACGUAGGGGGCAAGCGUUGUCCGGAUUUAUUGGGCGUAAAGAGCGUGUAGGCGGUUUGGUAGGUCCGCUGUGAAAACUCGAGGCUCAACCUCGAGACGCCGGUGGAAACCAUCAGACUAGAGUCCGGAAGAGGAGAGUGGAAUUCCUGGUGUAGCGGUGAAAUGCGCAGAUAUCAGGAGGAACACCGGUGGCGAAGGCGGGUCUCUGGGCCGUAACUGACGCUGAGGAGCGAAAGCAUGGGGAGCGAACAGG